Molecule: long non-coding RNA, 1714 nt
Organism: Octopus bimaculoides (California two-spot octopus)
Lineage: Eukaryota; Metazoa; Mollusca; Cephalopoda; Octopoda; Octopodidae
Source: RefSeq, a predicted model, not a curated record
CUAUGCAAACAAGUUAGCUUGUUGGCAUGGUUUGUGUGGUGAAAUACUUUGGAUAAAUGUUAGCUCUGCAUAUAGCAGGGUGGAUGGGAACUUAAAGUACUCAAAGGAGAAGGGCAGUGCUAUGACUUUGGCAGGCACUUCAGACCAGUGAAGAUUUGUGUUGUUGAUUUCCAGUUUGAAAUGGAAAGGAUAAAUAGGAUAAGUAAUCAUUUGACUGUGGCCAUGCUGGAACAUCGCCUUUGAGUCAACGAAAUCAACCCCAGGAUUUAUUCUUUGUAAGCCUGAUCCUUAUUCUAUCGGUCUCUUUUGCUAAACCACCAAGUUAUGGAGACAAACACACCAACAUUGGUUGUCAAACGAUGGGGGGGGGGGGGCAAACACAGACAUAAAUACACAUACAUAAAUAUACAUACAUACAUAUAUAUAUACAAGACAGGUUUCUUCUCAGUUUCUGUCUACCAAAUCCACUCACAAGGCUUUGGUUAACCCGAGGCUAUAGUGAAAGACACUUGCCCAAGGUGCCACACAGAGGGACUGAACCCAGAAUCAUGUGGUUGGGAAGCAAGCUUCUUACCACACAAGCAAAAUCAAAUGUUGACUUAUACAUUCUAAUUUAAACAAUUCAAGUUACUUUUGUGGUAUAAUAAGCCUUAUAGGAAUAAACUUAACCUUUACUUUGUAAAGGUGUUUUUUUUAUGUGUACUACUACUACUACUACUACUACUUAGAGGUCAUGCCAUAAACAGUUGAACUCGCUCUGAACUAUUUUACUAAAUUCUUUGUUGUUUUCAAAAUUAAUUGACUAAAAGGCAGCUUAUUUCAAUAGAAAUAUAACAAUGAAAGGGUUAAUUGUAAACUGGUUUCAUAAUUUAAAAAAAUUUUGUUGGUGGUAAUUAAAGCUAACCAGGACUGAAUCUAUAUAAUGAUUUCAAUUGAGAAUGCAUAAAUGAUCAAUAGACUCUUAAAAUGAGUUAAUCUGUCACCUAUUUUGAAUGUAAAUGUGUACUUGGGAAACCUUAUUGUAUAACAUAGUCAUACACAUACACACAAUGUAAAGCUGCUUCUCAUCAUUCAAUCGAAACAUGCUAUAUUUUUUGCUUAUUUUCUUCCUUUGAGGGUUGACUUAAUCAUACCAACCCCAGUAAUUAUUUCAGUCUGCUACAUGCAAACAUGCAUGCACACAUGUAUGUGCAUAUGUGUAUGUGUGCAUGUGAGCAUGAGGCAUGAGCACAGACAUAGGUGUGUUGGUAUACAUUUCACCGUUCAACCACCUGAUUUUAGGUUCCUUCCCACUGUGUGGCACUUUGGCAAAAACGAUACAGAAGCCUAUUGUGUGUGUGUGAAUGUUUAUUUCCAUGUAUCUUCACAUUUAACACUGUUGGAGCAACAGUGAUGUUACAUUAACAUCUGUAAACAAUACGUCUUGUAUGUGGCAGCUUUGUCAGUUUCAAAGUGUGAAGAGAAACGGAAUAUAAAUACCUUACUUGAAAAACCGUUAAGGGUUGGCAAUAAGAAAGGUAUCUGGUCAUAGAAUGCUACCUUAGUAAAACUUGUGUCCAACCCGUAGCAGCAUGGGAAAAGCAGGUACAGAACACACACACACAUGCAACAGGCUUCUGCAUAUUUCACUCUACAAAAUUCCAUUCAUGAGGUUCUGAGCAGCUCAACAUGAUUGAGGUUAUAGUAGAAGAUACUAGCACAGUGAUCAAGAUAA